RNAcentral lists this long non-coding RNA (10945 nucleotides) under Solanum tuberosum (potato). RNAcentral's name for it is "long non-coding RNA (STUB_LNC010076)". Lineage: Eukaryota; Viridiplantae; Streptophyta; Magnoliopsida; Solanales; Solanaceae. The record is from RNAcentral.
GGGCUGAUUUUGAGCCUAACAGCUGCUAUGGAUUAAUCUGGACUUUGGCCCAAACCUUCCCUAUUUUCUAAUAAGAGCCUGCAGCAGAAAUAUUGUGUAUACACCCAGUAUAUAUUACUGUAUACGAGUUGUAUUUAGCCAUUUUGCUUUAAGUCGACCCAAUAACCAAGGUGUGUUGGGCCCAUUAGAAGCCCACCUUGUGUCUGUUGACUAAAAAAUAUUAAUUAAAUCAAUUUUAAAAGAAUAAACGAAUUUUAAAAGAGUCGCCACCUAUUUUUUAGGAAAAAGUAGGAAAUCAAUUAAAUAUGUCUACGAAACCAUUAGAUUAUAGGUAGGGGAUUCAAGUUAUUCUAAAGGGAAUGUGUUAAGCAUCCUUCGAAAUCCACAACUGUGGGUCCCGACUGAAUUCAUUUUAUUUUAUUUUUUUUCAAAUUGAAGAGGAGAUAAAAACAAAUAUACAAGUAUAAUAAACAAGUAAUGUACACAAAUAAUCAAAAUAAAACAAUAAUAAGAAACAAUAAUAAAUAAAAAUUAUAAUUCGAACUCCGUUCGAAUAGCUUCAAUGGAAAUCAACUUUGUGUACCUGUAAAGACACUUGGUAAAAAUGUUAGUACUAAAUAAAUGUGAAUAAAAAUGAAUAACUCAAAUAAUAACUUAAAAAUAAAACCUGUCUUAUUAAUAUGGAAGGCCUUGGAAAUCGACGGUAAUUUCUUCAUUGGCCAAUUUUAUGUUUUCAAAAUAGCUAAUAUUUGACAAUUACACUAUUAAAAAUAUGAAAAUAUCGACAUAAAAAAAAAGAACCAAACUCAUUGCCCAUGACUACAUACACCAUAACAAUAUAACUUAGAAACAAAUGACGUUAAACAAUAAAACUUAUAUGACAACAAAAUCAAAUACCAAUAUUAAGAUUUGUGGAAAAAAUAUCUAACCCACAACAUUUAUCUAUAUUUUGUAACAAAUAAUAAAUUAAAAAGAAAUUUAGAAACAACAACAGUGACCAAAAUUAAAUCCCAACAAUACAUAAUUGAAGAUACAGCACCAAAACAUCCAUUAAUUAAUAAUUUAAUUAUUAUAUGUAUAUCACUUUACAAUAAAUAAAAGAAGACAAACUAGCAGCUAAUAAAUAUGGUUCACAAACAAACAAAAAUAAUAGAAAAUAAUCAAAAUAGUAGUAAAAAAAAUAUAGCCAAAAACAAAUAAGACAACACAAACAGUGAUUUAUCGGAGAUGGUUUCGAGUGGUGCUCACCGGAAAAUACUAACAGUCCCAAAGAAUGCUAUAUGAUAGACACAGAGUAAUAAAAAGAAAAUACAAAACAAAAAUAAACAAAGAGAAGGAGCGUGUUCACCAGAAAUUCGCGAAUUCGACCAGAUCUGAAUUUACUCAGUGAUCGUGGAAGCAGUAGGCGUGCGGUGGUUGGUCUGAUUCGUCGUCGUUCAUCGGGUAUUAACUGGAACACCUGCAAAACAAAAAAAAAUCAUAAAAGGAGGAGGGGAAGGGAUUAGUUGUUGUUGGAUUUUCUGGUGGUUUUUUGGGGUUUUUGGUUGUUUUUCGAUCUCACAGCCAGCUCGUGGGUGCUCGCCGAAAACCUUCACCGUAAAAUAUUUUUGACGGAUUUUGGACAUAAAAUUUAUAUCAAAUGAUAGCCCUUGAAGAGCUCUGCACAUUUAUGUAAAGGGUUUAGGAUGGGGAUGACUGACACUUUGUAAAUCUAAAGAAAAAAGUGAAGACUUAUGUUUGGUUUUUCUUAGAUCUACGGAGUUUGGCUAUGGAUAAGGAUGAAUGGUUUACAAAUUUGUGUAAGAAUGAAUGGUUUGCAAAUUUGUGUAGAGGAGGGUGAAAGGAAAAAAUGGUAAAUUUUGGAGAAUUUUCCGGCCAAGGGGUGGUGGACUCGCCGGAUUCCGACGGAACUCCUGUGAGCUUUGUCACUGAAAAAUUAUGAACACUCCGAGCAAUUUCAAAAGAGACCCCCCGCCCCUUAAAAAUCUGAAAAAUAUUCUUUAAAGCAAUUCCACCACCUUUUUUUAAAAAACUUUUUACCCAACUUUUUCUUCCCACCUUUUCCCACUUUUUCCCCCUUUUUCUUUCCACUUUUUCCUAUUUUUUCCUACUUUUUCCCCCUUUUUCUUUCCACUUUUCCCCACCUAUUUUUUUGACAGAAUCAAAAUAUAAAUAGGAAAAUAAUUAUGCAAUGGGCUUAGAUUGUGGGCUUGGGAUUGCUGCCUAAAAUCAUCGAUCAAUCUGUGUAUACAAAUUUUAUCCGUAUUUGAAUGAAUUUCUAGACUGUGCAAAAUAUCAAAAUGAAUAUUAACAAAUGUAACAAAUAAAAUGAAUAUAAAAAAUAAAAGAAAUAUAUAAUGAACUUAACUAAUGACAUGUAAAAAUGCAUUUUUAAAAUUAACUGAUAAAAAGUCCUAAAUUUUGAUAAAUAAGGAUAGUUAUCGAUAAACUUAUUUAAAAUUAUAAAAAAAAUUAUUUUGAACUAUUAAAUAAAUAAAACUUAAAAAUUACGAAUUUUAAAAAUGUUAGGCCGAAAUUGGAUGUCAACAGCUGUCCCUUUCGUUGAAUAUGAUGGAUGAAAGAAAUCGUGGACAACGAAAAUUGACUAAUCCAAUUUUUGCCGAACACAUGACCAUUAUAUAAAAGUGUGGUGGAAGUCGAUCCCGGACUUGCCUCCAAAAGGUUUCACGCUGUGUUGCGUCCUUGUUGAAGUAGUCCGCACCUGUGGCUCAACUGAGAAUGCAUCCUCUUGGAUGUUACUCGAAAAACAAGAUGAAACUCAUUAGUAGAGACAAAAUUACAGAGAAAAAGGUUAGCAUCUCUUACGAUACGACAAAUGAAGAUGAUCCAUUAGUAAGAUAAAAAUGCAUGUCCAUCGAUAGGACGAAUGAAGAUGAUAAUCCAUCGGUAGGAUUUUGAAUGUAUGUCCAUCGGUAGGACGAAUGAAAAAAGAUGAUCAAUCGAUAGGAUUUUGAAUGUAUGUUCAUCGGUAGGACGAAUAAAUAUUCUUUCAACGCAAGUCUCCUCCGACUUGAACGCGCAAUAGAUAGGGUGCACAUCCUUCACCUCUGAAUAGAUGCGACUUAAAUGCAAAUAUUUUUCAACGUAAGUUUCCUUCGACUUGAACGUGGAAUAAAUAUGGUGCGCAUCCUUCACCUUCAAAUAGAUGUGAUUUAAAUGCAAAUAUCUUUCAACGCAAGUUUCUUUCGACUUGAACGUUAAAUAGAUAUGAUGUGCAUCCUUCACCUCCAAAUAGAUGCGACUUAAAUGCAAAUAUCUUUCAACGCAAUUUUCCUUCGACUUGAACAUUGAAUAGAUAUGGUGCGCAUCCUUCACCUCUGAAUAAAUGCGACUUAAAUGCAAAUAUCUUUCAAUGCAAGUUUCCUUCGACUUGAACGUUAAAUAUAUAUGGUGCGCAUCCUUCACCUCAGAAUAGAUGUGACUUAAAUGCAAAUAUCUUUCAAUGCAAGUUUCCUUCGACUUGAACGUUGAAUAGAUAUGGUGCGCAUCCUUCACCUCCGAAUAGAUGCGACUUAAAUACAAAUAUCUUUCAACGCAAGUUUCCUCCGACUUGAACGNNNNNNNNNNNNNNNNNNNNNNNNNNNNNNNNNNNNNNNNNNNNNNNNNNNNNNNNNNNNNNNNNNNNNNNNNNNNNNNNNNNNNNNNNNNNNNNNNNNNNNNNNNNNNNNNNNNNNNNNNNNNNNNNNNNNNNNNNNNNNNNNNNNNNNNNNNNNNNNNNNNNNNNNNNNNNNNNNNNNNNNNNNNNNNNNNNNNNNNNNNNNNNNNNNNNNNNNNNNNNNNNNNNNNNNNNNNNNNNNNNNNNNNNNNNNNNNNNNNNNNNNNNNNNNNNNNNNNNNNNNNNNNNNNNNNNNNNNNNNNNNNNNNNNNNNNNNNNNNNNNNNNNNNNNNNNNNNNNNNNNNNNNNNNNNNNNNNNNNNNNNNNNNNNNNNNNNNNNNNNNNNNNNNNNNNNNNNNNNNNNNNNNNNNNNNNNNNNNNNNNNNNNNNNNNNNNNNNNNNNNNNNNNNNNNNNNNNNNNNNNNNNNNNNNNNNNCUUCUCGGUGAAUGAAAAUGCAAUGAAAAAUACAAAUGAUGGAUGACUCAAUGAUUGUGCAUUGUAACGAGGUGGAUGGCUCAAUGAUUAUCCAACUGUAACGAGGUGGAUGACUCAUGUGUCUUAAAAAUGUCAUCACAUUGAUGCUUUCAUCUGUCCCUGUAUUCGAAAUGGAACGGUUAGUAGACAGAAUCUUGUUUUAGCUAGCAACAUGAUCAAGAAACUUUAAGGAAGGAUUCAAAAGAGAAUGUGUACAAAGUGCCUGAUCACUUUGACACAAGUGAGCAAUCAUCAUUUUGCUCUUGAACACUUUGUGUUCAUUGUAACUCAUGUCUUAUUGGAGAUUUAUACGAGGCGUCGGUGGCUCACAUCCUAAGCUUAUUUUGCUUCAUUAUGGCAAUGCUGGAGAUUCUAACAUCGACUUUGAACUUCAAUCAAUACCAGAGAUCAUUUGAGGUUGACUAUCGAACUUCUGACAGUACUUGUUGGAAUCUUUUAGGUCUUCCUCAAAAAUUCUGUCCCAGUUAGAUCUCUUGACAAAUCUCACAAUGCUCUCCAAUCUUGACUUGCUGGGGAAAGCACCUUUAUUGUGAAUUUUUGAUAUAUUCUCAAAAAUUAUGUCCCAGUUUUUAUUACAAAGAGAAAAGAAAAUCACAUUGGGUCUAUGACCGAGCCAUCAUGGCACCUACAUAUCCUAUUGAGCCAGGAAUUAGGUCAAAUGUAGUUCCAAUCAUGUAGAUGAUGAAUAAUGCAAAGAAUCUGAGACAAAAUCAUCAGUAGAAAAUGCACAAUAUGAACAUGAUUAAAUAGGAAAAUAAUAUUCCUUGCGAUAUUCAAAGCCUAAAGACAAGAUAUAUCACAUUUUUGGGAUGGACAACCCAAUGAAGUAAACUAGGCGUCUCACACUGACAGAAUUAACCUAAUGACACUUUUUACAAUGAACAACCCACAAAGGAAAGGCAAAAUCAUUUAUUUUGUUUUAAUGGAAAGAAUUUUAAAAUAAUGUUUUGAAAAAUAUUAAAGAGUGGGUGCUUGUCCCCUUUUUUUUUUUUGAAAUAUAAAUAAUAUAAAGAGAUAGUCAAAUCUUGACUACAAUUGGUACCAGGAGUUAGAAUAACAUGUAAAUCUUUUUUUUUCUUUUUCUAACUAAGAUUGAAUUCAAGGUAACUCCUACAACUUCAAGUGGUACCUCAAACAUACUUAAGUAUCAACAAGAUUUGUUCACCUUGCUUCAAACAAAAGUUUUGAAUUAUACCAAUCCUGAUGUCUCAAUUUCCCUCACAACAAGAAAAGUCUUAUUUCACACAUAUUUGAAGCAUAUUAUUUGAGGACAAUUUUUGAAGUGCACUCACACUCAUAAGAAUGUUCAAUGCAUGCAAAUGUGAUACCAUAUGCUUGGCUCUUAUGUAAAUCUCCACUAAUGUAAGAACAUUUGGAAUAAGAUCAUGUAGGGCUUGUCAUUGGCUUGUAAGGUAGGCUUAGAGACGGGUAGGAUAUAUAUUUGGGAUAAGACUGACUUAAUUCCUUUUUUAGUGUCACAGUGAAUUUGUGUUUUUGAUGAUUGAUACACCUUUGGUGUCUCAUCCUCUUUAUUGUCCCCUAUUUUUUUUCCGACUUCUUUUGAAUCCUUAUUUCUUAGAGAUUUUCCUCUUUUCACCCCCUUUAUUUUUUUUAUUUUUUUCAGUUCUUUGGAGUCCUUAUUUCUUGGGAAUUUUCCUUUUUUCAUCUGUUUCUUUGAAGUUUCCUCCUUUUUUGUUGGAGUAUUUCCUUCUCAUCUUUCAUUGACCUUGUAGGGGGUGUCUUUAUCUUUCUUUAAUUCUUUACGCCUUCCUUUUUUUUUCUUUUUUUUUCUAGAAGUCAUUUUUUGCUUCCUUGACUUUGGGAGACUUUGUAUCUUUUGCCUUUGGCAACUUCAAACAUGGAUCUUCUCUUAUAAUUGCACACUGUUGGUGCACUCAAGAAGGUUGGGCCAAGAGAGGGAUAGUGCAUGUAAGCACUCAAAAGGGGUAUUGACUAAGAUGUGGUUGUCGAAAGAAAGGCUUCAGACUCAAAGUGGGGAAAACUAGGGAUUAAUGUCAUUUUGUAGGUUUUGAAAGGCACAAUCGGGUCAAAGAAGGCCUACAAUCCUUUUCCAAAUCAAACAUAGCUCAUGAUUUCACCUCAAUAAACAUUCAAGCCAAGUUCUAGAUCAACAGUACGAUGCAAUUAAAUUUUGAUCUAAAAGCUCACCACACAAUGCACAUGAAAUCAUGAUGUUGGUUUUAUUCUUAUCUUGAAUGCAUGCAAGAGAAUUUUUAAGCAUCACAAAAGUAUAAAUGAGAGGUACCAAAAUAAUCUAUGGUUUACCACAAAGUCAGUCAUCUUCAUCAUAUCGAAUAUUUUUACAUGCUGCUAAUUGUAUUGGUCCCAUUUGAGCUGAAGACAUGACUCUUUUAAUAUGUACAAAAUGAUUUUUUUUAAAGAAUGAAUAAAUAUCGAACCCAAGAAGGGUUGCUUACGUAUCUCAUCAAGAUGAGAAUCAGGUGUGCGUAGUUCAUGCAUAUAUGUUUUUGAAAAUAUGCACAAACUAUUUGAAUAUUUUUUUUUAAAUUUAAAAGAAUGAAUACCGAACCCAAGAAGGGCUAUCUACGUAUCUCAUCGAGAUGAGAAUCAAAUUCGCGUAGUUCGUGCAGAUAUGGCAUAAAAUAAUUUCAAAAUUUAGACAAAUCUGGAGCGAUUCAUUGUAUCCUCUUAACUGUCGAUCUUUGUACUGUCUGUUGAAUGUGGUCUCUCAAUUUUUAUAGUAACAACUUAAUGUAUUCUUUUUUGGAUGUCUCUUUAAACUGUGUAUACUCCCAAUGAUUCCCAAGAACUAUACAUUAUUAUCAUCAUCCCCGACUGUUGUUGGGAACGAUUUUCCUGUAAAAAUAUGAGAAAUGUGUGAAACUAGGGUCAACAUGCAAAAAAAAUAACAAAAAAUAAAUGAGUGUCAUGACCUCAUGGUCAAAUACUCCCUAGAUAUGUCUUUUUGACUGGAUAUAUAAUGUCUUGUGAAAUACAAAGACUCAAAUUUCGUGAGUCAUCUUAUCCCUUGCAACGUCGAACGAACAAUUACUUUCAGAUUUUGUUAUAAAUCAAACUCUCGUUUAAAAAGAAGAAAAAUUCAAAAGUAAAAGUGUUAGUUCAUGUUCAUAAUGGAUAAUGCAAAAUAUCACAUGAAAAAUUAAUUAAACACAUAAAGCGUUGCUUUGAUUGAAAAUAAACUCAAUUAUAUCACAUAAUAUAUAAACAAUUAUUACGUGUCCUAUACAAAUAUGUGACUAUUUUGUGUCAAGGGUACAAAUAAGUAUGAUUGUCUUUUUAUUGACUACGGACAAACAGACACAAAGUGGGCUUCUUAAAUGUGGAAUCAAUACCCGGGAUCGAUCCACCUAAGGUAUAUAUAUGCAUGACUUAUAUUGAGGGGUGGCUUAGCACUAUCUUAUGUUUUCUAAGAUUUGGCUUACCAGACACAAAGUUCCCGAGUGGACAACUCAAGUGAGGAGGCUACGCGAUCACAUGGAAAAAGAUUCGGACACCCCGCGCAUAUGCCAACUCUCCUAACUUUGGGGAUUUUGAAAGAAAUUUGCGGAUGCGCAAAACACACCUCGCGUGUACGUGUGAUUGUGUGAAUUUUUCAGAAUUGGAGGAAGUAUGGACGAAAUGACAGUUUAUAAAGCAGUAACAAAUAUACAAUUUAUAUAAAGCAGUAACAAAUAAACAUUUUAGAUAAGCAAUAACAAAUAAGCAGUUUAUAUCACAUAAGCAUGAAAAAUAAAGCAUUGGGCAUGUAAAAUAAAGCAAGCAAGUAAGCAUAUGCUAAAAACCUUAAUAAUUAACCUAAGUCUGUUAUGAUUAGAACCUAUUAAAUCUCCAAUAGAGUCGUCAUUUCUGUUAUGCUGUAAUUUUACUAACCUUUAGAAAAAUCACUUUUAAAAUGUUUUAAGUAUAAUACAAUUUGAUAAAAAAAAUACUUAAAAAAGAGUCGCCACUUAAUUUUUAAAAAAAUUAAGAAAACUUAAUUUAAAAAGACUCUAACAGAUUAAGCCUUUAAAAAUAUAGAGAAAAUGGGUAAGAGGUUCUUAUUUACACUUCAAGAAGAUCUUUAAGGCAUUUGGAGCGCCCGCUAACACGCGGUUAUCCUACGACUUGGUUAAUAUAUAUUUUGAUUUUUUUUUUUUAGAAAAAAAAUGAUUUAACAUAAAAUAUAAUAAUUUACAAUAUUUGAUUAACUUUGAGAAAAUAGUUAAAAGAACAAUUUUUAAUUUUUAAGAUAAGGGGGACUCUAAUUAGAAUAUUUGAAAUUAAUUACAAGUGAUUAAAAUUUUAACAAAAUUGGAUUUAUUUGAAUCAUUUUAAUAACAAUUUACACCAGUUUGAUUAAUUAAAAGCAUGAAAACUAUUUUAAAUUAAAUGAAGAAUAAAUAAAAAGUUUUGACUAAAGUUAUUCAAUAAAAGUAUAAGAGUUGAUAAAAUGAAUUUCAUUAAAAUAAACUAUCAUAAAAAAUAUGGUUCCACUUUUGUGGGAUUCAAUUAGGUUAAACCAAAUCAAAUAAAAGGGUUAGAAUUAGUAGACAAAAAAUAUGUCAAAUAUUUAAUAAUAGUAAAAUUUCCAAAUUGUCAAAAAUACCCAAAAAAUGGGCCUAUUGGGCCCAAAAUCAGAAGUCUGUCCACCUGAGCUGAUUUUGAGCCUAACAGCUGCUAUGGAUUAAUCUGGGGUUUGGCUCAAACCUGUCCUAUAUUAUAAUAAGAGCGUGCAGUAGAAAUAUUGUGUAUACACCCAGUAUAUAUUACUGUAUACGAGCUGUAUUUAGCCAUUUUGAAUUAAGUCUACCCAACACCCAAGGCAUGUUGGGCCCAUUAGAAGCCCACCUUGUGUCUGUUGACUAAAAAAUAAUCAAUUAAGUCAAUUUUAUAAGAAUUUCAAGAAUAAACGAAUUUUGAAAGAAUCGCCACCUAUUUUUUAGGAAAAAAUAGAAAACCAAUUAAAUGUCUACGAAAUCAUUAGAUUCUAGGUAAGGGGUUCAAGUUAUUCCGAAAGGAAGAUGUUAAGUAUCCUUCGAAAUCCACACCUUGUGUCUGUUGAUUCAAAAAUAAUCAAUUAAGUCAAUUUUAAAAGAAUUUCAAGAAUAAACGAAUUUUGAAAGAAUCGCCACCUAAUUUUUAGGAAAAAAAUAGGAAACCAAUUAAAUGUCUAUGAAACCAUUAGAUUCUAGGUAAGGGGUUCAAGUUAUUCCGAAAGGAAGAUGUUAAGUAUCCUUCGAAAUUCACAAUUGUGGGUCCUGACUGAAUUCAUUUUAUUAUUUUUUUCAAAUUGAAGAGGAGAUAAAAACAAAUAUACAAGUAUAAUAAACAAGUAAUAUACACACAUAAUUAAAAUAAAAAUAUAAUAAGAAACAAUAAUAAAUAAAAAUUAUAAUUCGAACUCCGUUUGAAUAGCUUCAAUGGAAAUCAGCUUCGUGUACCUGUAAAGACACUUAGUAAAAGUGUGAAUAAAAAUGAAUAACUCAUAUAAUAAAUUAAAAUAAAACCCGUCUUAUUAAUAUGGAAGGCCUUGGAAAUCGACGGUAAUUUCUUCAUUGACCAAUUUUAUGUUUUCAAAAUAGCUAAUAUUUGACAAUUACACUAUUAAAAAUAUGAAAAUAUUGAAAUAAAAAAAAAGAACCAAACUCAUAGCUCAUGACUACAUACACCAUAACAAUAUAACUUAGAAACAAAUGACGUUAAACAAUAAAACUUAUAUGACAACAAAAUCAAAUACCAUAUUAAGAUUUGUGGAAAAAAUAUCUAACCCACAACAUUUAUCUAUAUUUUGUAACAAAUAAUAAAAUAAAAAGAAAUUUAGAAGCAACAACAGUGACCAAAAUUAAAUCCCAACAAUACAUAAUUGAAGAUACAACACCAAACAUCCAUUAAUUAAUAAUUUAAUUAUUAUAUGUAUAUCACUUUACAAUAAAUAAAAGAAGACAAACUAGCAGCUAAUAAAUAUGGUUCACAAACAAACAAAAAUAAUAGAAAAUAGUAGUAAAAAAAAAUAUAGCCAAAAACAAAGAAGACAACACAAACAGUGAUUUAUCGGAGAUGAUUUCGAGUGGUGCUCACCGGAAAAUACUAACAGUCCCAAAGAAUGCUAUAUGAUAGACACAGAGUAAUAAAAAGAAAAUACAAAACAAAAAUAAACAAAAAGAAGGAGCGUGUUCACCAAAUAUUCGCGAAUUCGACCAGAUCUAGACUUAAUCAGUGACUGUGGAAGCAGUAGGCGUGCAGUGGUUGGUCUGAUUCAUCUUCGUUCAUCGGGUAUUGACUGGAACACCUGCAAAACAAAAAAAAUCAUAAAAGGGGGAGGGGAAGGGACUGGUUGUUGUUGGAUUUUUUGGUGGUUUUUUUGGGUUUUUGGUUGUUGUUCAAUCUCACAGUCAGCUCGUGGUUGCUCGCCGGAAAACUUAGCCGAAAAAUGUUUUUGAUGGAUUUUGGUCAUAAAAUUUAUAUCAAAAAAUAGUUCUUGAAGAGCUCUGCACAUUUAUGAAAAGGGUUUAGGAUGGGGAUGACCGGAACUUCAUAAAUCUAAAGAAAUAAGUGAAGAUUUAUGUUUGGUUUUUCUUAAAUCUGCGGAGUUUUGCUAUGGAUAAGGAUGGAUGGUUUGCGGAUUUGUGUUAAGGAGGGUGAAAGGGAAAAAUGGUAAUUUUGGAGAUUUUUUCGCCAAGGGGUGGCGGACUCGCCGGAUUCCGGCGAAACUUCGUUGAGCUUGUCACUGGAAAAUUAUGAACACUCCGAGCAAUUUCAAAAGAAACCCCCUCCCCCUCUCUUAAAAAUCUGAAAAUUAUUUUCUUUAAAACAAUUCCACGACUUUUCACCCUUUUUUCUUUCUACUUUUU